Molecule: long non-coding RNA, 218 nt
Filed under: Setaria viridis
Lineage: Eukaryota; Viridiplantae; Streptophyta; Magnoliopsida; Poales; Poaceae
Description: long non-coding RNA (SVIR_LNC003505)
Source: RNAcentral
UCUAAAGUUGUGCGAAAUAUGGGACACGCAACAUAUCUUCCGAUGGAGUCUUGCUCACAAUAGACCACAGCAAUUGGUCGCAAGCCUGCUGGUGUCACUUGAUUUAAACACAUCCAUGGAUUGGAACAAACUAUAUUUCACAUUGGCUGCUAGAUUUAACUCAUAAGUGCCGUGCACUCUAGACUCUAGUGACAGGGCACUUACUAGUUACAACUCCC